Molecule: long non-coding RNA, 1407 nt
Organism: Astatotilapia calliptera (eastern happy)
Lineage: Eukaryota; Metazoa; Chordata; Actinopteri; Cichliformes; Cichlidae
Source: Ensembl
AAGCUGGCUUAAAGAGAAAGGAAUUAAAACUGCUCAUUUCAGAACGUAGAUGACCCAGGGGGCUGUACCAGCAUCCAGUAUAAAAUGAAUUAUUAUUCUGAACUGGGCAAAAGCUACUCCAGCAGAGUCCAAGAGCAAAAAUGGAGCUGGAAGUGCUUUCUGGUUGACAACUGGAGUGUGGUGCUAAUGUUCUCACAUCCUAAGGCUACAGCAGGGUUAGUUUCAUGCCCCCCCUUCACAGUCUUUGUGCUGAGCUAGCUUCUAGCUUUAGCCUUAUGUAUUCAUAAGGCAUAUAUACAGCAGUCUUGCUCAUCUAAGUCUCAACAAAAAGUGAAUAAAUGUAUUUCUAAAAGCUGCUGAGCUGUUGCUUUAACAGCCUCGUUAAGCUCAAUCAAGUGACCCUGCAGAGGUGAUUCAAAUGAGGGCGUGCAGUCGGCUAAAACAGCAUUACACAGCAAGAGGGAUGAUUAAUAUUCUAGACAGCAGCCCUAGCCUUCACUAUAAUUUAUUGACACAGUGACUGGUUUCAGACGAGUGGGGGUCACACAUAUGCAAUUAAACAGGCUUAUUAUGUGUGAAUGAGAAUGUUAAGAAUAGGGUGAAGACUGCAUGCAGGCAGGCAGCCAGUCGCUGGUGAGAUAAGAAUGAUAGAAAUAAGGCAACUUUAAUUAAAUAGAUAAGAGAAAACUUAAAAAAUUCACAACUUGCACAUCCAAUGUCACAACAGGAAGGAUUGAAAACACCCACACUGGUAAAUGACGCAGCCUCUUUAAAAAAAAAAAAAAAAAAAAAUCAUGCUGUGAAAAAGCAUAAAAAAAGGAGGGAAAAAACUUAUUCAUCGUGUGUUGAGAAAAAAUGUACCAUUAUCAGCAUGUCCAGUGGGGUUUGCUCUAUAAUGAAUGAGAGAAAGCUUCAGUCUUGUCCUCAGACAUGCGGUAUGACCCACAUUUUAUCCCAGAAUGCUAAUGUUAGCUACAGACCUACCAACCUGCCCCAGACUCCUUUUAGCCAACUGAAUGUUCAAUGAGUGAGUUACUCUCCUGCGGUAAAAAUGUCAAACAGUCUAAUGCAACAGCCUGGCGAUAAAUUUUACCUUCAUAAAGGUUGUGAUCUUCAGUUUUGGCUAAAAUGAUUAAAAGUAUUACUUCUAGAGCAAUCCAAAUAUUGCUAAUAUCGAUACCAGCGCUGGUAUCGGUAUCGGAUCGAUACUAGCACAAUAGGAUCAAUAUUUUCUAUCCUCAAAAUUCAGUAUGUAACCCACUGAAUAGUGUUAAAUAAAUUCUUAUCCUUUUGGAAAUGAAAAAACUUAAUCUUUUUGUGUCACCUGCCAGGUCUAGUAGAUUUAUAGCCUGUAGCACAUUUAAACAACAGAAGUUGACAAAGAGCUUUAGGUACAGGCACAUUUUU